AUCAAGAAGAACAUUGUGAAGAAGUGCCUGGAGCUGUUUGCCGAGGUGGCGGAGAACAAGGACGACUACAACAAGUUCUACGAGUCGUUCGGCAAGAACCUGAAGCUGGGCGUGCACGAGGACAGCCAGAACCGCGCCAAGCUGGCGGACCUGCUGCGCUACCACUCAACCAAGAGCGGCGAGGAGACCACCAGCCUCAAGGACUACGUGACCCGCAUGAAGGAGGGCCAGAAGGCCAUCUACUACAUCACCGGCGAGAGUCGCAAGGCGGUGGAGAACUCGCCCUUCCUGGAGCGGCUCAAGAAGAUGGGCUACGAGGUGCUGUUCAUGGUGGACCCCAUUGACGAGUACGCCGUGCAGCAGCUCAAGGAGUACGACGGUGGGUGCUGGGUGGGGUGCUGGGUUGCGGGGGGCAGUGGACGGCGUCCGCGCGGAGCGGUGGGACGGAUAGGAGGCAGGGCGUAAUGAGGGGAGGGAUUGGGGAUAAAGGACAGAACUUGAAGCGGCAAAUGGAUGGUCGUAUUGUGUGUUCAGCAUAUGCUGUGCCUACCGCAUGUGCUCUCGCUUGCACUUCUGGCGGACCGGCUGACUGAACGAUGCCUUCUCCCUCGCCUUGCCCCCUCCCAUCCCCCCUGCGAUAUGCAGGCAAGAAGCUGGUGUGCUGCACCAAGGAGGGCCUGGACCUGGACGAGAGCGAGGAGGAGAAGAAGCGCAAGGAGGAGCUGGCCAGCCAGUUCGAGCCGCUGUGCCGCCUGAUGAAGGACAUCCUGGGCGACAAGGUGGAGAAGGUCAUGGUCAGCCACCGCGUGGUGGACAGCCCCUGCGUGCUGGUGACUGGCGAGUACGGCUGGUCCGCCAACAUGGAGCGCAUCAUGAAGGCGCAGGCGCUGCGCGACAACUCCAUGGCCGCCUACAUGACCUCCAAGAAGACGCUGGAGAUCAACCCCGAGAACGCCAUCAUGAAUGUGAGUGCGCUGUUGGUGGCGGUGGCGUCGUCCUGGGGCGGGGGCGGGGGGGUCGGUGGUGUCAUGUGCGGGGGUCGGCUGGGCUGCACGGGCGGGGGAUUGCGGCUGUGGAGCUUGGAAAGGGCUGUGUACGCUGUGAACGGGGGGCUCACUAGCUUGCCGCUGGUCGCGUGCGGUCAUGCAUCGCAUUCCGCCUCAGUUCCUGGUCUUACCCCUACCCUCCUCCCGCACACUCCUCUGCCCCCUCCUCCCACAGGAGCUGAAGAAGCGCUCUGACGCGGACAAGUCGGACAAGACCGUGAAGGACCUGGUGCUGCUGCUGUUCGAGACCGCGCUGCUGUCGUCGGGCUUCUCGCUGGACGAGCCCAACACCUUCGCCAGCCGCAUCCACCGCAUGAUCAAGCUGGGCCUGUCCAUUGACGAGGAGGUGGAGGAGGGCCUGGGCGCCGCCGACGACGACCUGCCGCCGCUGGAGGAGGACGCCGCCGCGGGCGAGGGCAGCCGCAUGGAGGAGGUCGACUAAGCGGCUAGCAAGGACUGGCAGGCAUUAGCGGCGGGUGGAUAGGGAGGUGGGAUGAGGGCUCUGCCCUGGUGUGCCCCCGGUCUGGGGGAUGGAGGGGGGCAUGAACCGAGAGCUCGACUGCUCGUUAGCUUAGCAGCAGUGAAGCGGUGCGGCUUAGAUGUGAACAUACGC
Molecule: long non-coding RNA, 1659 nt
Filed under: Chlamydomonas reinhardtii
Lineage: Eukaryota; Viridiplantae; Chlorophyta; Chlorophyceae; Chlamydomonadales; Chlamydomonadaceae
Description: long non-coding RNA (CREI_LNC000742)
Source: RNAcentral